ACGCUGGCGGCAGGCUAACACAUGCAAGUCGAGCGGUAACAGGGGGAGCUUGCUCCCUGCUGACGAGCGGCGGACGGGUGAGUAAUGCAUAGGAAUCUGCCCGGUAGUGGGGGAUAACCUGGGGAAACCCAGGCUAAUACCGCAUACGCCCUACGGGGGAAAGCAGGGGCUCUUCGGACCUUGCGCUAUCGGAUGAGCCUAUGUCGGAUUAGCUAGUUGGUAGGGUAAAGGCCUACCAAGGCGACGAUCCGUAGCUGGUCUGAGAGGAUGAUCAGCCACAUCGGGACUGAGACACGGCCCGAACUCCUACGGGAGGCAGCAGUGGGGAAUAUUGGACAAUGGGGGCAACCCUGAUCCAGCCAUGCCGCGUGUGUGAAGAAGGCCUUCGGGUUGUAAAGCACUUUCAGCGAGGAAGAAAGCCUGGUGGCCAAUACCCACCAGGAAGGACAUCACUCGCAGAAGAAGCACCGGCUAACUCCGUGCCAGCAGCCGCGGUAAUACGGAGGGUGCGAGCGUUAAUCGGAAUUACUGGGCGUAAAGCGCGCGUAGGUGGCUUGAUAAGCCGGUUGUGAAAGCCCUGGGCUCAACCUGGGAACGGCAUCCGGAACUGUCAGGCUAGAGUGCAGGAGAGGAAGGUAGAAUUCCCGGUGUAGCGGUGAAAUGCGUAGAGAUCGGGAGGAAUACCAGUGGCGAAGGCGGCCUUCUGGACUGACACUGACACUGAGGUGCGAAAGCGUGGGUAGCAAACAGGAUUAGAUACCCUGGUAGUCCACGCCGUAAACGAUGUCGACUAGCCGUUGGGUCCCUCGCGGACUUUGUGGCGCAGUUAACGCGAUAAGUCGACCGCCUGGGGAGUACGGCCGCAAGGUUAAAACUCAAAUGAAUUGACGGGGGCCCGCACAAGCGGUGGAGCAUGUGGUUUAAUUCGAUGCAACGCGAAGAACCUUACCUACCCUUGACAUCCUGCGAACCCUUCGGAGACGACAGGGGUGCCUUCGGGAACGCAGAGACAGGUGCUGCAUGGCUGUCGUCAGCUCGUGUUGUGAAAUGUUGGGUUAA
This 1059-nucleotide ribosomal RNA is filed under the name Halomonas sp. D57. RNAcentral describes it as "bacterial SSU rRNA". It matches the Rfam family "Bacterial small subunit ribosomal RNA", at positions 33 to 1083 of the family's 1533-position model. Lineage: Bacteria; Pseudomonadati; Pseudomonadota; Gammaproteobacteria; Oceanospirillales; Halomonadaceae. The record is from RNAcentral.